Molecule: long non-coding RNA, 3382 nt
Filed under: Sus scrofa (pig)
Lineage: Eukaryota; Metazoa; Chordata; Mammalia; Artiodactyla; Suidae
Description: lncRNA (ENSSSCG00005026290.1)
Source: RNAcentral
AUUUAAUUCCUAGGGGUUUAAUACUUUAUAAAACAAGACAGCAUGAUAAAGAAUUAUUGGCAGACUGAAUCUGGAGGGGAAAAAAAUUCCAAAGCAAUCUCUUCCUCUUUAGAAUUUAAGGGAAUUACAAGUUUAUAAGCACACAGUUCCUGCACUGGACUAAGUGGUUUGUCUAUACCUACUCUUUUAAUCCUUGGAACAAUCUAGCAAGGUAGAUGUUAUCGCCUUUUACAGACUGGCUCCGAGAGGUUAUUACACAACUUGAGCUAAGAAGUAGCAAGAGAAAACUACGAACCAAGAUCCAUAAAGUUCAAAAUAUUGUCACUAAAAAGGUAUGCCUCCCCACCACAAAUCUCCCCAAGUGAGCACCUGUUCCGGAUUUUAAUACCAGAGGGAUUUACUCUAGGAUGGGGAAAAUGAGAUAAGGAAUAGGACAACACUCUGUAAACUAAACAUUAACCUAAGAAAGAGUCAACAUCAUGGGACAACCACAAGCACCCGAGUGCUGUCUGCUUGUCACACUUGGGUAGCAACUGUCUUGACAAAUGGAAAGCGACAUGGCCCAACAUUAGCCCCAACUGACAGAGUGGCAAGUGACCAAAGGUGCCUCAUGUGCCCAGUCCAUUCGGCUGUCCAAGCUGAAUCACGGAAGGGGGAAGAGGCGGCCAUGCCAAUAGCUGUCAGGGUGACAAGACCCAGGCGGGGCUGCUUUAGAGACAAACGUCACGAUCAGCUGUCUUUAUAACAUCAUCUAGAUGCUGGGCGGCACAUUCUACAAAACACUAGGCUUUAAACACAGUAAGCAUUGGGUACUGGUGGAUAUAAAGAUGAGGCAGUGCCUAGCCUGCCCAAUCGCACACAAAAAACCUAGCAGCAAACAGCCAGAGCGGUCACGGACACGGCAGACUCACACACACACUGUGGGAACUCAAGGGCACGAACCAUCUUGGCCUUGGCUUGCAAGGAGCAAGAGGGAGUCCAGUGGAGACACUCGAGCUCUGUCUUGGAGGUGAAAAUUCCAGUCAAAGGGAACAACGUGUCCAGGGGCAUGGAGUCGUGAAGCUAUGUGGCAUAUUUCUGGACCAGCAAGUGUUCGGGAAGGCAAGAAAACAGGGUGGGGGAGGAUGGUGCAGGACAACAGGAAGGCGAGGGGGGCGGGUGGCUCCCGUGCACCAUGCCUACCAGCUGGACUUUAUCCCGUACGCCGUGCAAUGCUAGCAAGUUUCCAGAAAAGAUCUGGGUGUAAACAACAGCCUGACACUGGUGUGGCGGGUGGACUGCAGCCAAGAAGGCAGGCAGGAGCUCCCGUUGUGGCUAAGUGGGUUAAGAAACCAAAUAGGGUCCAUGAGGAUGUGGGUUCGAUCCCUGGCCUUACUCAGUGGGUUAAGGAUCCAGCAUUGCCAUGAGCUAUCUUAACCUGCUGCACCAGAGUGGGAACUCUGAGCUCUUUCUAGUAGGAAAAUGUCCUGCUCAGAAUUCGCUAGUUGUCCCCAUCACCAGGGGCUUCAAGUCCACUCUCUCCGCAGAAAUCCAGCUGAGCACUGCCCACAGCUGCGCUAGGGGAGUGGUGGAGGCCACACAUGCUGGGGGCAGAACUAACAGAUCUGGCAACUGACUAGAUGGGAGAGAACAGGAGGGAACAGGCUUGGGGAACCGGGUUUCUGGCCUGGACCACUAAUGGAAGAUGGUCUGGCACUGAGGAGAGAGAACGCAGGAGGAGCAAGCAGGCGCUGCAGGAGGAGGAAGAGUUAAAUUCUGGGACAUUGUCAUUUCUAGCACCUGUGGGAGACCCGUGCCAUGUCCAAAGUGCUGAGCAGAGGGCCCGGCCCUGAGAAGAGCCAAGUAAGAUGUGCUGGCAAAAAAGUCUCCCAGGAAGACUUCCUCCUUCACUCUGAAACGGCUCCUGCAAGGUCACCCACAACACCCCUGUGGGUAAAUGCAGUUUUCUUAUGUCAUCUUAACUUUUCCCUCCUGGAAAUAACCUCCCCAGGGCACUGAGAGACAACAAUACCCCACGGGAGUCCCCUUUGUGGCUUAGCAGUUAAGGAAUCUGACUAGGAUUCAUGAGGUUGCGGGUUUGAUCCAUGGCCUCACUCACUGGGUUAAGGAUCCGGCGUUGCCGUGAGCUGUGGUGUAGGUCGCAGAUGUGGCUCAGAUCCCGAGCUGCUGUGGCUGUGGUGCAGGCCCGCGGGUGUAGCUCUGAUUCAUCCCCUAGCCUGUGAACUUCUGUAUGCUGCAGGUGCGGCCCUAAAAAGCAAACAGCAACAACAAAAAAACAAUACCCCACAGCUGCCUCUUUUCAGUCUCCCUUGCUGCUUCUCCUUCCUAAUCCAGCCUAUAAAUGCCCAUAGAGCCCAGGGCCUGUUUCUCAGCUCCUGCUCUACCCACACUCCUCAAACAAUCUCACCCAUCCCUACGGUUUUAAAAAACAUUUUAUUAUACAAAUUUCAAUUGACUCUAAAACGGCAUAUUGAAACCCAUGGAUCUAUCAACACUGCAUUCUUAUGUGCUGACAACUCUCCAAUGCUGUCCAGACAUCUCCCGUGAGGAGUCAGAGGUCCAGCAGGCCAACUGCUUAGCUGGCCUUUCUAUCUGAAUAGUGCACGGCCAUCUCAAACAAACUUCACCAGGUCCACUGCCCUGGAUCCGCCCCUUCCCCACCCACACCUGUUCCUCCUCCUCUGAAUUCCUAGCAAGCUCUCAGUGGCCAGCACCUCGUGUGCCUUAUUCACUGACGCUUCCCAACAGCACCUGGCAGGUGGCCGGCACGCUCACCUAGGCAACAAACAGCUCUAGGUAAAUGGCACCAGCAUCCUCCCCACUGGCCAUUACCUUGAUUCUGUCCCCCUUUCAAAGCCAGACUGGUAUUUUAUUUUUUAUGUUUUCCUUUUUAGGGCCACACCUGCAGUGUAUGGAAGUUCCUAGGCUAGGGGUCAAAUUGGAGCCGCCGCUGUUGGCCUGAGCCACCGCCACGUGGGAUCUGAGCCACAUCUGUGACCGAUGCCACAACUUGCAGCAAUGCCAGAUCCUUAACCCACUGAGCAAGGCCAGGGAUGGAACCUGCAUCCUCAUGGAUACCAUGUCAGGUUCUUAACCCACUGAGCCACAACGGGAACUCUCCAGACUGAUCUUUUAAAAAUGUAGAAUAAAAUGCAAACUCUCUAAAUAGCUGUAAGGCCUGGAAUUUUCUGGCCCCUGCUCCUUGCCACCUGUCCUGUUUUCCUUUCACUCCUGCCUCCUAGAUUUUUCUGGGGUUUCCCAGCAUGUCUGACUCCUCCCCUUCAGGGCUUUCAUGCCCACUGACCCUUCAGGUCUCAGUAUGACAUCACCUUGUCCGAGAGGCCUUCCAUGACCUCAUGUGGGAAGCUCCCUGAUUUUGUCC